UAUCGCAUAGUGAAGCUUGUCCCGUGGUC
Molecule: non-coding RNA, 29 nt
Filed under: Mus musculus (house mouse)
Lineage: Eukaryota; Metazoa; Chordata; Mammalia; Rodentia; Muridae
Source: RNAcentral